AUCCCAGGACUCUGGGAUCAUGUCCUGAGCAAAGGCAGAUGCUCAAACGUUGAGCCAUCCAGGCAUCCCUUGACCUAAAUAUUUUUAUAAGGAAACUUAGUGGAUGUUACCACCUAAAAUCAUCUCAGGCAUUCUUUGGAAAAUACUUCAAUCACGUAGUAAUAAUCAUAAUCAUAAUCAUAAUAGUGAUGAUAAGUUAAGACUAUUUCCAAACUAAUUCUGUGAAAUAGAGACAGAUUGGUAGGGAAGAAAUCAGAGUCCUUAGAGCUCAUGGGAAAAUGUUGGGGUAAAUCAUAUGCUCAGAUUACAGUUUAUUCUUUGAGGCUUUAUUUAAGAAGUGAGUUAAUAUUUACAUGACAUUGAACUUCAAAGUCCAGGCAAUAAAGUGGAAAAAAGAGUGAGAGAAAAACAGUUUGUGUCACUUCCUUGCUCUUCCUUGCCCUGUGGUGAGCCACUGGAGAAAACCAAAGCGGAGGGCUUGGGUCUUAAAUUACCAGAGUUGAAUAAUUUCUUAUUAAGUUAUUAAAAUUUAUUCUGCUGAAAUGCAUGUGUUAUGUUACCUAACUCACCUUAUACUAUUCUUGGUGGAGUUUGAUUAUGUCUUUAAAUAGUAAUCUUUCCUUAGUGCGAAAUUCUUUGCCUUUUUUUGUAGGGAUGCAGUCUCUGGUCAUGUGUGUCUUUGCCAUGAUAUUCUUGACUUAUAGAAAAGAGUGCUGCUAUUAUAACAAAGUAGGACAUUAUUUAUCUGUAUGAGGCAAUGAACAUUACCAGUUUUCUCAAGUACUUCCUUUCUGAUUCUUCUUGUUGAGGGGUUUUCACUCAUUCCUGACUUUUAAAUUAGGGCAGCCUCAUACAUAACACUAGCAAGAUGGACAAGGGAUGGGCCAUGUAGAAGACAUCAUUCUGGGCUUGACUCAAAGGGAAUCAUCAUGCCCGAGAAAGUAGUAAACCAGUGGCUACCUGAAGGGAAGCCACUACUUGCAUUUUAAAAUCAUCAUGUAGUGGCAUCUGGAUAGCUCAGUUGGUUAAGUGUCUGACUCUUAAUUUGGCUUAGGUCAUGAUCUCAGGGUUGUGGGAUGGAACCCCGAGUCACGACCCUCUGAUCUCCACACAGUGGGGAGACUGCUUGCAAUUCUCUCUCUCUCUCUCUCUCUUCACCCUCUGGUCCUCCCCCACCCCCUACCCCAAAGUAAAUAAAUAAAUCUUGAAAAAAUAAAGUCUGGUCAUGUAGUAUUUUGAGAUUGCAUGUGUUUAGAUACAUUUGGAAAUGUUAGGCCCCAUAAAAGGUCCCUUUAAAGUCAGGCUCCAUAGUUUGACAGGUCUAUGUGUUCAUUUUUUAUUUUUUAAAGAUUUUAUUUAUUCAUGAGAGACACAGAAAGAGAGAGGCAGAGACAUAGACAGAGGGAGAAGCAGGCUCCCUGCAGAGAGCCUGAUGCAGGACUCAAUCCAGGACCCCAGGAUCACUACCUGAGCCAAAGGCAGACACUCAACUACUGAGCACCCAGACAUCUCUAAGUAAUUCCAGUUUAAUAGUGAGAAAAACAUCAGACAAACCCAAAUUGAAGGAAAUUGUAUAAAUAAUUGACCCAAUAUUCCUCAAAACUAUCAGAGUCUUCAAAAACGAGGAAAGUAUAAGAAGCUAUCUAUCGCAGCCCAGGGGAGCCUAAGGAGACAUGACAACUGAGUGUAAUGUGCUCAUCCUGAAUGCUUUCCAAGAACAACAACAAAGAGACAUUACUUAAAAACCAAGGAAAUGUGACUAUGGACUUUAGUUAAAAAUGAUGUAUCACUAUUGAUUCAAUAGUGAUGGCAAGCUUACCACACUAAUGUAAGGUGUUACCAGUAGAGGAAAGUUGAGUGUUGGGUAUAUGAGGAUUCUCUCUACAAUCUUCUCAACUUUCCUCUAAACCUAAAACUAAAAUGAAAAGUUUAUUUUAAAAAAGCUGUUAUAUGCUACUGAUGAAUUAGUGAGCUCUACAUCUGAAACGAAUGGAGUACUAUAUGUUGGCUAACUGAAUUUAAAUUUAAAAAGAAGAAAUAAAGCUAACUUCCAGAGAAACCACUCUGGAAAACUACUGAGACUCUCUGUGGCUCCCAAUAUUUCCUGAAAAUCCUAGGGAAACUUUAUAAGCACAUCCAGAAUUAGUUUGUGCUUUUGGGGCUCAGCAGUUGAGCAUCUGCCUUCGGCCCAGUGUGUGAUCCCGGAUUCCUGAGAUCGAGUUCCACAUCGGGCUUCCUGCAUGGACCCUGCUUCUCCCUCUGCCUGUGUCUCUGCCUCUCUCUGUGUCUCUCAUGAA
This 2297-nucleotide long non-coding RNA is filed under the name Canis lupus familiaris (dog). RNAcentral describes it as "lncRNA (ENSCAFG00000057816.1, ENSCAFG00845027955.1)". Lineage: Eukaryota; Metazoa; Chordata; Mammalia; Carnivora; Canidae. The record is from RNAcentral.